AUGAAAAGGGCCAAACCCCUCCCACAAACCACUCAACAGAUCUCACCUAACAACACAAAACAGCAAAUCAGAAGGGGGAAGAUGGAGGCGGCCAUGGGCGAGGGGGGAGGAGAAGAAGGGAGAUCAAGCAUAAAUCAGAAGGGUUUGGGAGAAGAGGAUGUACCUGACGAGGAACAAGAAGGAAGAACAUCGGAGGGAAUUCAACAACUAUCCCAACUGCUCACCAUCUUCUCUCUUCACCUGUCACAAGAACAAAUCAGGAGGAAUUUUCUUCAUCUACAAGAGAUAGAUCAACAUCAGUUGUAUUUCUAG
This 312-nucleotide ribosomal RNA is filed under the name Triticum aestivum (bread wheat). RNAcentral describes it as "partial small subunit ribosomal RNA". Lineage: Eukaryota; Viridiplantae; Streptophyta; Magnoliopsida; Poales; Poaceae. The record is from RNAcentral.